UUGAAAUGCAAGCAUUUUACUUUUUUUGUAUCAUGUUUUUGCUGUUAUAUAAGCUAUUAAUUGAGAUGAAUACAUUCUUGACAAGAACAAAAGCUAUUCCUUUGUGUUGAAUUAAUUUCUGCGUAUGUAUGAUUAUGAUGGGGUCACUACACGUUAAACAAGACAGUAUAGAGGAACACUGUCGAUAAUCAACACUUAAAUAAAUAUACACACCACUCUUCCUCGCCCGC
This 230-nucleotide long non-coding RNA is filed under the name Mytilus galloprovincialis (Mediterranean mussel). Lineage: Eukaryota; Metazoa; Mollusca; Bivalvia; Mytilida; Mytilidae. The record is from RNAcentral.